UCUCUGGUGGUCCAGUGGCUAAGACUCCAUGCCCCCAAUGCAGGGGACCCAGGUUUGAUUCCUGGUCAGGGAA
This 73-nucleotide transfer RNA is filed under the name Bos taurus (domestic cattle). It matches the Rfam family "tRNA". From Rfam's summary of the family: Transfer RNA (tRNA) molecules are approximately 80 nucleotides in length. Their secondary structure includes four short double-helical elements and three loops (D, anti-codon, and T loops). Lineage: Eukaryota; Metazoa; Chordata; Mammalia; Artiodactyla; Bovidae. RNAcentral also lists the same sequence under 5 other names. The record is from Rfam by way of RNAcentral.